This 74-nucleotide transfer RNA is filed under the name Xylophilus ampelinus. RNAcentral describes it as "tRNA-Val". It matches the Rfam family "tRNA". From Rfam's summary of the family: Transfer RNA (tRNA) molecules are approximately 80 nucleotides in length. Their secondary structure includes four short double-helical elements and three loops (D, anti-codon, and T loops). Lineage: Bacteria; Pseudomonadati; Pseudomonadota; Betaproteobacteria; Burkholderiales. RNAcentral also lists the same sequence under 3 other names. The record is from RNAcentral.
AGGCGCGUAGCUCAGUUGGUUAGAGCACCACCUUGACAUGGUGGGGGUCGUUGGUUCGAUUCCAAUCGCGCCUA